This 254-nucleotide ribosomal RNA is filed under the name uncultured bacterium. RNAcentral's name for it is "partial 16S ribosomal RNA". It matches the Rfam family "Bacterial small subunit ribosomal RNA", at positions 524 to 776 of the family's 1533-position model. The record is from RNAcentral.
UACGUAGGGGGCAAGCGUUGUUCGGAAUUACUGGGCGUAAAGGGCGCGUAGGCGGCCUGUUAAGUCGAACGUGAAAUCCCCGGGCUCAACCCGGGAACUGCGUCCGAUACUGGCAGGCUUGAAUCCGGGAGAGGGAUGCGGAAUUCCAGGUGUAGCGGUGAAAUGCGUAGAUAUCUGGAGGAACACCGGUGGCGAAGGCGGCAUCCUGGACCGGCAUUGACGCUGAGGCGCGAAAGCCAGGGGAGCGGAACGGG